Molecule: long non-coding RNA, 1240 nt
Organism: Bos taurus (domestic cattle)
Lineage: Eukaryota; Metazoa; Chordata; Mammalia; Artiodactyla; Bovidae
Source: Ensembl
GCAGAAUAGACGAUCUCAUUUUCUUAACCGUGGAUCUCCUCCCCUAGACUUGUUGCCUAGGGUAAAAACAUACCUCAGGUAAUUUCUAGUACAAAGAACAAGAAAGCCCUGUGAAGACGGCCUGUUCCAUCCUUCAUCACCCUCGUUACAUCGCCGGUUUGUGCGUCCCCUAAGAACCAUCAUGUGGGUAUCACCUGGGCUGCCACCGUCCACUAGUCACGUCUGCCUGUCCCUGUGCUUAAAGCACUCAUCGUACUUCGCAGAAGAUUCGCUCACACGCCUGUCACCUCCCCACCCUGUGCUCAGGGCGCUGGGGUUACUGAGCAUCCUUCCCGAAAACUCAAAGACUUGCUGCCUUCGGCUCAACCCAGACCAGACUGACAGCUGGUUCGCCUUUGAAGGGAAGUCCUUUGAUUCUAGCUAUUCUACUGGGCUUCUCUGGCGGCUUAGAUGGUAAAGCGUCUGCCUGCAAUGCGGGAGACCUGGGUUCAAUCCCUGGGUCGGGAAGAUCUCCUGGAGAAGGAAAAGGCAACCCACUCCAGUGUUAUGGCCUGAAGAAUUCCAUGAACUGUAUAGUCCAUGCGGUCACAAAGAGUCAGGUAUGACUGAGUGACUUCCACUUUCAUUCUACAGGGCACAUAAUAGUAUCUCACUGUGGUUUUAAUUUGAUGACUAAUGAUGUAGAACAACUUUUCAAGUACUUAUUUGCCAUUUGUAUACCUUCUUUGGUACAGUAUCUAUUAAACUUUUUAAUGGAUUGACUUUUUUUUUUUUUUGACAGCACCUCACAGCUUGUGGGAUCUUAGUUCCCCGAAUAGGAAUAGAACCUUGUGCCCUCAGCACUGAAUGUGUGGAGUCUUAGCCACUGGAAUGCCAGGGAAUUUUUAGUUUCUUAUAAAGCUUUCAGGCUUCCCUUGUAGCUCAGCUGGUAAAGAAUCCACCUGCCAUGCAGGAGACCUGGGUUUGAUCCCUGGUUGGGAAGAUCCCCUGGAGAAGGGAAAGGCUACCCACUCCAGUAUUCUGGCCUGAAGAAUUCCAUGGACUGUAUAGUCCAUGGGGUCACAAAGAGUCAGACACGACUGAGUGACUUUCGCUUUCACUAUAAAGCAUUCACCUCCAAAAUGACCAAGCAAUUCCACUAGUAAAUAUUUACCCACAAGAAAUGAAAACAUAUGGCCACUAAAAUAGUCAUACAAAGAUCUUCAUAACAUAUUGAACCCAGGUCUCCCACGUUGCAGGC